Molecule: ribosomal RNA, 486 nt
Filed under: uncultured bacterium
Lineage: Bacteria
Description: partial 16S ribosomal RNA
Rfam family: Bacterial small subunit ribosomal RNA
Source: RNAcentral
AUUGAACGCUGGCGGCAUGCCUUACACAUGCAAGUCGAACGGCAGCACGGGUGCUUGCACCUGGUGGCGAGUGGCGAACGGGUGAGUAAUACAUCGGAACAUGUCCUGUAGUGGGGGAUAGCCCGGCGAAAGCCGGAUUAAUACCGCAUACGAUCUACGGAUGAAAGCGGGGGACCUUCGGGCCUCGCGCUAUAGGGUUGGCCGAUGGCUGAUUAGCUAGUUGGUGGGGUAAAGGCCUACCAAGGCGACGAUCAGUAGCUGGUCUGAGAGGGCGACCAGCCACACUGGGACUGAGACACGGCCCAGACUCCUACGGGAGGCAGCAGUGGGGAAUUUUGGACAAUGGGCGAAAGCCUGAUCCAGCAAUGCCGCGUGUGUGAAGAAGGCCUUCGGGUUGUAAAGCACUUUUGUCCGGAAAGAAAUCCUUGGCCCUAAUACGGGCGGGGGAUGACGGUACCGGAAGAAUAAGCACCGGCUAACUACGUG